Molecule: long non-coding RNA, 2462 nt
Organism: Epinephelus moara (kelp grouper)
Lineage: Eukaryota; Metazoa; Chordata; Actinopteri; Perciformes; Serranidae
Exons: 3
Source: RefSeq, a predicted model, not a curated record
GAGUCGUUUACACGCUGUUUCUCACAUAAUAAUAUAUCGUGUGCACUUCUAACUCCAGUUAUGCGUUGUACACUUUUAGAAGUUUGAUACCAACCGCGUGCUGAUGCUGGGUGCUCGCUGUGUGACUGUCUAGGAGUGGAAUUGGUCAGGUGUGCCCUGCUUGGUGCCACCACCCGAUGGCGAGCUAAGCCCAAGAAGGAGCCUCGAACACCAUCCUCACACAGCAACAGCACUCCUGUGGUUCGGUAGGGGCUGCUGCAGCCAGUCCACUCUCCUUUUUUGUUUUCCCCUCAUUCGCAAUCCGCUUAUGAACUCUGUUUUGCGCGCCCAUGGACAAUUAUAAUACCAAUGAACAUUCUGAAUGAACUAUGGACAAUCAAUCAAUCUACCAAUCUCUACUGCGGACUGUGAUUUAUCACCAGUGAGGUGAUUGGGUGGAGUACAGGUACUCCAGGUGUUUUCCUGGACUAGGACUGUUGCAUUUCUUUUGCUGUUGCUAUUGUGAAACUGUAAACUGAACUGUUUAUUUGUGGUCAGAACAAAUGGUUAAAACAAAGUGCACUUUUUCCUCUUCAAACUUCUCUAAUAAUUUCAAAUCAAGCUUGAACAAAGUCAUAUCUGCAGAUUGUAAAUAUUUUGGGGCUACUGUUUGAAUUCACUUUUUUUCCACUGUUAAUAAUAAGGCACUGGCCACUAAACCAUAAAUACUUGUCUGUGUUGUCUUUAUACUGCCACACGCACCUCCCAGAGCCGAACCUUAGCAUUUUCUGAUCUAGUCCAAUUACCACCUUAUAAAAUUAAUAAACUCAUACUCUUCUUAUUGAGCAUUACUACAUGUACUUGCUACACACAUAUGCAGUCAACAUGUAUGUUUUAUAGAUACACUGGGUUGGCCAUUGUGGUUCUUAAAAGUAGUUUAAAGUAUCAAGUUGAUUCUUGUUCUGUAGUAACAGGUGGCUUCUCUUUUGAUUGCUCUAAUUCCACCUUUUCUCACUCCUGCUGUUUUAUACAGACAUUGCAUCCCAAAAGUAUGAUGCAGAGUAAUAUUUAUAUGCUUGUAGGUGUCCUCCCUACAGAGUUAGCUUGCCUCCUCAUGAAUGUGACAGGUGCUCUAAACAUUAACACCACCACUGCCCAAGAGAGGACUCUGAACAUGACGGUUUGGAUCCCCACUGCACUGAGUCACAGUCACAGGAGGUGGCAGCAGGAGAGCUGAGAAUCUUGGCCAGUAAAGGACAAGACCAACGGCAGGGAGAGGGACUGUUAUCUGUCAAAAGACAAGACUUCCUCACCUGCCACAGAACCAGAAAUGUCCACAAAGCCAAAGAACUCACCCCCUCGAACUCAUCUCUCCACGUUUGGAUCAGUUUCAAACAGGGAGAAUCAGAAGUGCAAGAGGUCUGCUGAUCAUCUGAGCAGAGAGGGGGAUGACAGCUGUGAGGCCCACUGCUCUAAAAAACACAAGAAGGGCAAAAAAAAAGAAAACUCGAAGGAUAAAGACAGCACCCUUGCUAGACGGCACCAAAAAUAUUCGUAAGUUAAACCUAUUAGUGUUUUAUUCACGUAUAAGGCCACUUAACUGUCAUGCAGCCGGCUGCCACUAGUGAGUGCUACAGAGCUGUCAGACAGCAGUCCCCCUCCCCAUAAUGCUCGAGUAGACUGGAGUUUUACAGCAAGGUGGGAAAUUGGAGAGAUGUCCUCUUGCAAAACCAGCACGGUAGUCUAGUCUACUCUUAAUUACAUUUUUCAUUUAGUCAACAGGGAAAUUAGUCACCCAUUAGUCGAAUACCUCUAAGACAGACACCAUGUGAGCGGGUGAGUAAUGGUAUAUUUACCUCCAUGCUGCAUCACAGCUCUUUGUGUAAAUGUUGUUUAUAUAUUGCUUAAUCAUUUAGUUUAAGAUCACUGUCAAUUGUACUAUCUGCCACUGCAAAGGGAAUUGUGUCAUGUCAUUUUAUUAUUUUAUUGCUUGAAUGAUUAGUCAAUUAAUCAAUUAGGAAAGAAAAAUAAUCAGCUAUUUUGCUAAUAAUUGUUAUAGUAAAAAUUUCAAAGCAAGGUUUCAGCCCAAGGUUUCAUGUAAGGAUUUGCUGCUUUUCUUUUUGUUUAAAUGUUGAAAUAGAUGCUGUUGUGGAGCUUUUCAGUUUUUAGAGUUGAUCCUGGUUUGCAGGAAAUGGAUUCAGCUGAACCCGUGGUGACUCAUAUGGAUUCCCCAGUGGCUGUAAACAUUGACUCUGCACAACCAGCCAGGAAAUACCCACAAUCCCAGAUCCACAGUGGGGCCUCUAAGCCAAGAGGUUCCCCCUUUUAGACCCAAAUUUGCUCAAGGAACAUUGCAUCAUAACAAUGAUUAAUCAAUGUCCUACUUAACCUGCCAUGUUGGUUGUAAUUUUGAGGCUGCAUAUUUUAUUUUUUCCUCAAUUAAAGUAUUUUAAGUGUUCAGCAAACUUUAUAAUAAAAACUUU